AUCUCACCAGGCGGUUGGCGCCGUUGGUCUCGCGAAGUCGGGUCGGUCCUCGGCCCUCGGCACGCCCGCCCCUCCGCACACAGCCGAGAGCCGCCCUCUGGUCAGGGUGGGCCAGCACCGAGGAGGCCGUGAGCCCCGCUCGGCCCUGCCCGCAAAGGAGCCUUGCACGUGGGCCUCCGGGUAGAGGGCACUGAUCGGAGCGCAGAAGCGCGUUGAAGGCACGUUUGAGGCCGCGGCGGCGCGCGAGUGAGGAAGCUGCCAGGACCCCAGUCGAGGACGUGGGCGGGUGGAGAACGAGCCCGUGUAUCCGUGAAACUGUGCCACGGGCUUGCCGAGCCUGUACAUUUCUAAAUUGGUGGCUGCUCGGAGAACCCAAGGUGGAGUCUUGGGUAAAGGCUGCUGUGAGCCUGGGCCCUGGCACUUGCUCUGGAGUCCAGCUUCCUUCUGACACAUAAAGACCUCUGAAGGAUACAUGUAGCUCCACUUUUGUAUGAGUUGUUCAAAGCUGCAGAGCAACUAGUUAGAAUUGGAACCAGAGUCAGGAGAUUCAUCUACACCUCAGCUGAUGGAUGCAGCACCUUGGAAACAGGCCCAGGAGCUGAAGUCCCAGGACAGGCCAGGACUUGGCCACCUGUGGACCACCUGUCUCUGCCCACAGCCAAAGACCACCAGGAACAAAGUUGGAUUUACUGAUUUGUUGCAGUGAGGGAGACUGCAUACGUGUCUAGAUGAGGAGUCCAGGGGCAUCUCAGUCUGAAGGUGUUACAAGGGAGUUAGAAUAGAACUUGUGUUAAGGACUGUGGGGUCAGUUUCAAGAAAGCAGGAUCCAUUCUAUGAUUGGGUAUCUCAAUUUUUAUAUAGAAGCUGAGACAAAAACAGCGGAGCUGAAGCUGUGGUUGGUAAAGAGACAGCCAUCACUUGCGUUAGCUGGGAGUGGGGGAUGUUGGUGGGUUUGGGGGUUUACACACUGGCCUUGAUUUUGUCUGCCCUCAGACAUGACUGUGGAAGACCUUGCCUGAUGUGAUCCGUGAGAUUGGCUGUAUUCAGCAGCAGAACUUCGCAGUCUAGCUGUGAGCCCCAGGCUGGUCGGAGCCUGCUGCCAGGGACUACUUUUCUCUUUCUCACUGCAAAGGCAAAGCCUUGACCUUCAAGUUGCAGCCUUCUCUCUAUCCUAGUCUCAUAUCUUCAUGGUGGGAUAAGGAUCAUCCCAUUGGAAGAGGAAGAAGGGAUGGAUGAGAAUAAGGAGGGGGAUUUGGGGUGGGGGGUGGGGGUGGGGAUAGCAGCUUAGCUUAGAGUAUUCAUAUCUCUGUCACCUGAACAGAUCCAGGGUUCCCUUUAUCUGGAUAGAAUGGAAUUCCAAAGCCAUGUUGGCAAGGGCGGCCAGCGGGGGGGCGGCGCGGGGAGGAGGGGGAAUUAGGAUACCAUUGCUGUGCAGGUGCCUUCUGAAUUAUUGGAGGAAGUCCCAGUAAAAGGGGUAGGGAAGGCAGUAAGAAAUGGCCAUUCUUAGUACAGAUAAUCCUGACUUAGAAAUACAGUCCACUCUCAGGAAACCUAGGGAGCGUGAUCAUACAUCCCAAUUUUCUGUACUAAGUAUUAUCACUAUUCGAUUACCUGGGAUGUAGUUUUGCUACAAACAAUCCGGGUUUAUACAAGUCCAUUUUUGUAGUGAAGGGAAUCCAUUACUUGUCUGAUCCUCUGAGGAGCAGACAGCAAAAUGGGAUUAGAAUUGCAAGAGGGUUAUUUGGGGAAACACCUGUGAGGGAUCAAGGGUUUGAGGGAGCAGGAACAGGCAGGGGGAGCCCUCUGCAAUACAGGCCCAGCCCCCCUGCUUAAGCAGAGAGGGAGAGAAGGACUGAGGAGGAAGGGCCCCAGGCCACAGGCCGCAGUGCAAUUCUGAGAAAAUCUUGGCCAGGCCUCUGGGGACUCUGCAGGCUGAACUUCCCCAUUAGAGUUGUCCCCAUGGUGGCAUUGGUGGGAAGGGUGUGGCACCGGGGCCCCUGCCGAGCCCCUCUGCCGUGCUCAGUCAUUGCCCAGAGGCAGCCAGGGGCAGCCUGGCCUCCUGUCCCGGAGGGGUGGGGGUGCUGGCAGCUGAGGCCCACUCUCUUGUAGCCACAUCCCCUGGGGGGGCCCACGGAGCCUCCUCGGCAGCAGCACUGAGUCAUUGAACCAGUUUAAAUCCUCCUAGAAGCAGGAGCCAAGAUGGGAUUAGACAUGCAAGAGCUUUAUUGAGGGAGAUGGUCGUGAGAAUUAAAGGGGGGAAGAGGAGGGGGGAAACCCCUACACAAAUGUGGUACAACCUGUGUACUGCUGGUGAAGAAAUAAACUCACAGAAGAGUGUUUUCUUUAAAAAGCCUCCCUGAAGUCACGUGCACUGAAUGUUGGCUUGGGAAAUACGGUUUCUUUAUAAGUCCCUGAAUUUGGAACAUCAGACAAAUAAGGUCUGCCUCAGCUAUUUUUUGCACGGCUCUUUUCUGUGAGGGCUUCGCUGGGACCCUCUUCUCUCACUGCUUCUUAACCUCUCAGUGGUGGGGAGGGGCUGAUUUUGCAGACUUGGGCCGUGGCAGCCGCAACCGGCCCUGCGGGCAUCUAGUGGGUGGAUGUCAGGGGUGCUGAUGAACGUGCGGCAUUGCACAGAACGGCACCCACAGCAAAGGGUUAUCCGGCCCCAGAUGUCGGUAGUGCUGAGGCUGAGAAACUGCCCUACCGAUCCUCUUCAUCCUCUUGCAAGGAAGCCAGCAACAUGGGCUUCGUGGGGAGACCCCCAGGGCCUGGGGCCUCCUGGAUGGAGAUGCUCCUCCGGAAUCAGCCUCAGAGCAAUAGAGCUGCAAAAAGCCUAGUAUUCUGCUGAAGGCCAACCAGCGCUUCCUUUCUAUUUAAAUAGCGAGUUUUUGUUUAACAAAGGUCCCAGGCUCCCAAGAGAUUUCCAGAGGUGUAGGUUAAAGCACAUGAAAUGCCUUAUAUAAGUUACAGAAACUCAUGACAGAAAGUAAAAUGCUUGAACAGUUGAUCCCAAGCAAUAUGCUUUAUAUGCAGUAACAUCUGAGAUGUACCCACGCCCGCCCUGACAUUCUGUCUGUUGCAUUUAGAAUGUAAUUUGAAACUUUCCCAGCCCAUCUUGCUGAAAAUCUACCGAGUUUGGGGGACUCUCUCUAAAAUUUUCCCUAUAAACACUGGCUGAAAAACAUGGAGUUCGCUUUUUCUCCUUCCCGUUGACCCUGUUUGUGUUUUGUGUCCCAGCCAAUAUGACAAACAGCACCAAGGGAAUUCCAGGGCGCAGAUGUCAGGAGCCCUGUGUUGGAAGAAUGGAACCCCACAUUCCCAUGUGUGUUCACUUAGUCUUUACCAAGGGAAUGUGUUAGCACUGAGCACCAGAGAUGCAGGUGACUUUGCCCUGGACUGCAGGGCAUGGACAUAAAAAUGUCAGCGCAUGGUAAGUGUACUUCCGCCCCUUUCCAGGCUCCGCCCACCGCUACCCUGUCAUUUGCCCUGGGAGCCUGACCAGACAGACUGCAUUGCCUGGACCUACUGCCGGCUGCCUUUCAGCUGGGUGCACCCAGUGGGAAGAAAGCACCCGCCAAGCUGGGGGGAGGGGGAAGGGGGAGGCCCGCAGAGGCAGGUGUUAAGAUAUUUCUCCCAGUCACCCUCUGGGCGCUGGCCUGCAUUUUCUUUUUUUUUUUUUUUUAAGAUUUUAUUUAUUUAUUUGAGAGAGAGAAUGAGAUAGAGCGAGAGAGCAUGAGAGGGGGGAGGGUCAGAGGGAGAAGCAGGCUCCCAAGGAGCAGGGAGCCUGAUGCGGGCCUCGAUCCCAGGACCCUGGGAUCAUGACCUGAGCCGAAGGCAGACGCUAAACUGACUGAGCCACCUGGAUGCCCCCAUAUCUCUCUAAAUAUAGGGGUCCUCACCAUGGUUUCGGAGGCUGUAAAAUGGACCAAGCAAGCUGCAACUGUGCAAAAUAACCUUAAUGAUCCGUGGGGAAAAUUACGACUGACCUUUCAAAAGGUUUGUGAAAACAUUACUGUUGCUAAGAGAAAAAGUAGUACAAAUAUUAAAUACACUAAUUUGAAACAUUACAGACAUUGAGAAUCAAAGUAUUUCUUUGGAAAGUCUUGCCAGGAGGAGUUUGAACAAGUGCCUUGCCUGUUCCUAACUCCCAUCUAUAUUCCAGUUUCUAUCACGUUUCAUUGCUUUGCUGCAUUUUCCUCUUUAUUGGCCAGUUCCCUGUUUGUUAUCCAUCUUUGUAAAAUGUCCCCUGAGUUCAUCCGUGGGAGACGAGGCACCACAACUGCAUGCUUUGCUGUCUGUGCUGCAUGAACUGAGGGACCGAUAUGCAGUGGCCAGUCACCUACUGUCUUGGAAAGAGGUGACAUGACUGGUCACCGAUCACACUGUGUGUCUGCUGUUCACGUACUGAUUUCUGGACUAAAGGGCUAGCAGUCCAACUAGACCUUCACAAAUGAAGCUUUCUGCACUUGCUCACAGUUACUAUACCAGUGUAACUGAAAUUUUAACCAGCUUGUUGGGGGCCUGGCGUAAUUUAAAACAAUUGAGAUUAGUGAUAAUUGAAAUUCACCUAGAUCAGACCGUGCAAAACGAGGGCUGCCGGUCGAGGGCUGCCAGUCGUCCUUCCUUAUAGUCCUUUGAACCCAGUUGGAUUCUGCUUCCUGCUGAGACCAUAACUGAUACAGUGUGCAACUAACUCUCCAGGGGAGUGAAAAAGAAAGCUUCACAGAAUGCAGCCAGGGUCGGCCAAGAUAUGCCCUGUGCCUUCUGACUCCAGACCAGCAAUGACUUGUUCUACCAUCCACACAAGGGCAGGCAGGAAGCACCUUCUAGAUCUGCCCUGGGAGUCGACUGACCCAAAAGUAAGGCUGAGACGGCUGUGCUUAGGAACUAGGAAUUUGUUGGAAAAGGAGCUAGGGCCUGACCCAGCUGCCCAACUGAAAACAAGCUUCUCCUGUUGAAAGACCCACAGCAGCAAGUUUUUGGGAACCAGAUGAAUGAAUCAUCAUUCCUUCUUCAGAAUCACUUAAUUCUGCCUCUAGCUUCUAGUUCCCUCCCACGGUCAAGCUCUGGGUCUGCAGUGGCUCCAUGCUUCAACUACAAACUGCUAGUUACCUACUAUUUGCCGUUUCUUCCUUAAAGAGGUUUGAUUUUAUUUGAGGAGCAAAGGUACCUACCUAAAGGGUUGUACUUCUCAGCCUUCUAUGUAGAUAGGCAUUUCACAAAGUUCUGGCCUAUGAAAUAUAAGGAAAAGAGAAGGCUUCUUAAAGGAGCCCAUUCUCUCAUUUUCUUUUACUUGAUGCCUGGAAUGUGGAUAAUAAUGGCUGGUGCUCCAGCAGCCAUUGUGGACCAUGAGGUGACCUCAAAGAUAGAAAGUACACACUAGAAUGGUAGAAUGGGAAAAUAAAAGGAAGUUUGAAUCCCCUAUGACCAUAGAGAUGCCAUACCAGCAUUGGACUAUCUACCUCCAGAUUUCUGUCUUAAGGCCCUGUUAUUUGGGAUUUUUCCAUUAUAUGCAACCAAAUCUAAUCCUAACUAGAUAAAUAUGCCUACUUCCUACUGAAAUUAACUUACACCAAGUCCUUCAAAUUGAGCCUCUACUUCCUGUGAAAAUCAAUAUAAAACAAGUAACCAGGGCGCCUGGGUGGCUCAGUUGGUUAAGCGACUGCCUUCGGCUCAGGU
This is a long non-coding RNA of Mirounga angustirostris (Northern elephant seal), 5679 nucleotides long. RefSeq lists it as uncharacterized. The transcript is spliced from 4 exons. Lineage: Eukaryota; Metazoa; Chordata; Mammalia; Carnivora; Phocidae. The record is from RefSeq and is a predicted model, not a curated record.